This 280-nucleotide long non-coding RNA is filed under the name Prunus persica (peach). Its description in RNAcentral is "long non-coding RNA (PPER_LNC000453)". The record is from RNAcentral. Lineage: Eukaryota; Viridiplantae; Streptophyta; Magnoliopsida; Rosales; Rosaceae.
UUUUGUUUUUUCUAGUGAUGAAUCCUUUUCAUAUAACGUGAUUAACUUAUUUUAAUGGAACCUAUUGCUUGCACAAAGUGAACUGAGGAACAAAUGUUAAUUUGUUUUUUUAAUCUUAUAUGCCUAAGUGGACUGAGAAGUAUUCCUUCUGGAGGGCGCUACAAGGAUCCAUGAUUGCACAGUUCAAUGGCUAUUGUAUCAGCACCUACCAAGUGGAUGUUGCCUGGAUUUUCUCUCAUAAGAUCUGCUUGAUUUCUCCCCCCAAAAUAUUUGAUCAUAG